Molecule: non-coding RNA, 107 nt
Organism: Acanthosepion pharaonis
Lineage: Eukaryota; Metazoa; Mollusca; Cephalopoda; Sepiida; Sepiidae
Source: the annotation of a GenBank genome assembly
CUAUACCACAUUGAAACACUGGUUUUUGUACGAUAACUGAAGUUAAGCAAUGUUGUGCCUGGACAGUACCUAGAUGGCUGACCACUUGCGAAUAACAGGUGCUGUAA